GAUGAACGCUGGCGGCGUGCCUAAUACAUGCAAGUCGAGCGAACAGACGAGGAGCUUGCUCCUCUGACGUUAGCGGCGGACGGGUGAGUAACACGUGGAUAACCUACCUAUAAGACUGGGAUAACUUCGGGAAACCGGAGCUAAUACCGGAUAAUAUAUUGAACCGCAUGGUUCAAUAGUGAAAGACGGUUUUGCUGUCACUUAUAGAUGGAUCCGCGCCGCAUUAGCUAGUUGGUAAGGUAACGGCUUACCAAGGCAACGAUGCGUAGCCGACCUGAGAGGGUGAUCGGCCACACCGGAACUGUGACACGGUCCAGACUCCUACGGGAGGCAGCAGUAGGGAAUCUUCCGCAAUGGGCGAAAGCCUGACGGAGCAACGCCGCGUGAGUGGUGAAGGUCUUCGGAUCGUAAAACUCUGUUAUUAGGGAAGAACAAAUGUGUAAGUAACUAUGCACGUCUUGACGGUACCUAAUCAGAAAGCCACGGCUAACUACGUG
Molecule: ribosomal RNA, 497 nt
Filed under: uncultured bacterium
Lineage: Bacteria
Description: partial 16S ribosomal RNA
Rfam family: Bacterial small subunit ribosomal RNA
Source: RNAcentral